GACGAACGCUGGCGGCGUGCUUAACACAUGCAAGUCGAACGGAAAGGCCCUGCUUUUGUGGGGUGCUCGAGUGGCGAACGGGUGAGUAACACGUGAGUAACCUGCCCUUGACUUUGGGAUAACUUCAGGAAACUGGGGCUAAUACCGGAUAGGAGCUCCUGCUGCAUGGUGUGGGUUGGAAAGUUUCGGCGGUUGGGGAUGGACUCGCGGGUUAUCAGCUGGUUGGUGGGGUAGUGGCUUACCAAGGCUUUGACGGGUAGCCGGCCUGAGAGGGUGACCGGGCACAUUGGGACUGAGACACGGUCCAGAGUGAUACGGGAGUCAGCAGUGGGGAAUAAUGCACAAUGGGCGGAAGCCGGAAGCAGGAACGCGGGGUGAGGGAUGACGGCUUUCGGGUUUUAAACCGCUGGCGGCUGGGACGAAGAGUGAGUGGAGGGAAUGGGUAUAGAAGCACCGGCUAACUACGUG
This 468-nucleotide ribosomal RNA is filed under the name uncultured bacterium. RNAcentral's name for it is "partial 16S ribosomal RNA". It matches the Rfam family "Bacterial small subunit ribosomal RNA", at positions 28 to 507 of the family's 1533-position model. The record is from RNAcentral.